RNAcentral lists this ribosomal RNA (119 nucleotides) under Panthera pardus (leopard). Lineage: Eukaryota; Metazoa; Chordata; Mammalia; Carnivora; Felidae. The record is from RNAcentral.
UUUUGGGGACAAACUAUCCUGAAAAAGCCGGAUCUCCUCUUGUGUUGGAAGCUAUGCAGGGUCGGGCCUGGUUAGUACUUGGAUGGGAGACCCUCUGGGAUUACAGGGUGCUGUAGGCU